RNAcentral lists this ribosomal RNA (652 nucleotides) under uncultured bacterium. Its description in RNAcentral is "bacterial SSU rRNA". It matches the Rfam family "Bacterial small subunit ribosomal RNA", at positions 749 to 1397 of the family's 1533-position model. The record is from RNAcentral.
AUGCACGAAAGCGUGGGGAGCAAACAGGGAUUAGAUACCCUGGUAGUCCACGCCGUAAACGUUGUACACUGGGUGGUUGGAUUUAAAAUCUGACUACCGGAGCUAAUGUUGUUAAGUGUACCACCUGGGGGAGGUACGGUCGCAAGGCUGAAACUCAAAGGGGAAUUGACGGGGGACCGCACAAGCGGUGGAGGCACGUGGUUUAAUUCGAUGGUAAGCGAAGAACCUUACCAGGGCUUGAAAUGAGUAGGACAGUCUGUGAAAGCAGAUCUCCCUUCGGGGUCUAUUUAUAGGUGUUGCAUGGUUGUCGUCAGCUCGUGCCGUGAGGUGUUGGGUUAAGUCCCGCAACGAGCGCAACCCUUGUUUAUAGUUGCCAUCAUUUAGUUGGGCACUCUAUAGAGACUGCCAGCGUUAAGCUGGAGGAAGGUGGGGAUGACGUCAAAUCAUCACGGCCCUUAUGUCCUGGGCUACACACAUGCUACAAUGGGUAGUACAAAGGGUUACGAAGCAGUGAUGUGGAGUUAAUCUCAAAAAGCUAUCCUCAGUUCGGAUUGUAGGCUGAAACCCGCCUACAUGAAGUUGGAAUCGCUAGUAAUCGCAGGUCAGCCAUACUGCGGUGAAUACGUUCUCGGUCCUUGUACACACCGCCCGU